ACAGCCCCAGUUUUCUUACAUAGCUAAAAAUAUAGCUGCUACAACUGGGUCUAAGUGGCUGCUGGAGUCAAUUGUCAGAUGAGGCCCCGGGUCCAGAGAAGCCACUGGAAAUAUAGCAGUACAGAGGUCUGCAGCCUGUUUGGUCAUUUGGCAGUAACACCUGGUGGGGUCAGCAGGAAGAGGGACCCCCUGCUUCUGGAACCUCUUCCCCAGGCAAAGCAGGGGCUCAGGGGUCUGCAAGUUGAAAAGUGAUGUGCUAGGUGCUAUCUCUGGAGAGUAGCCAUUCUCUGCCAUGCUCAUUGCUGUCUCUGCAGAUUUAUUAGUAGUAAUCCAGAAAUCUGGUGUGGUGUAAAUACUGCUUUAAUAACUGCCUGAGGCAUGCUACUGACCUUAUUAGAAUGGGAAAGUUGUGUGUAUGGAGGGCACAAUUAAUUGCCACAUGGCUCCUGAACGAAUCAUGCUGCUAUGGAUAAGGCAGGCCAGAGGAGUUCAUUGGAAGAGCCCAGCUCGAAAGCUUAAAACUAGCUACCCUUCCAGUCCUUGGCAUCUGGGAAAUCUCCUGGGCAACAGAUUCUGAUAAUGAAUAUUCAUGCUUAUUUUAAUCACUUUGUGAAAACUCAUGCCUUGACCCUCUUAUCUAAAUUCAGAAAAAUAACCUUCCAUUACAUAUACCAAUGAACAAAUUACAGAUCAGAAAAUAGCAGGAUUGGCAUAAAUUUAUCCAUUAUGUUAAAAAAAUAUAUGGUUGAACUUGUCUCAUGUUUGUUACAAGACGCUCUUGACUGUGAACUUUUGCUCAAUUUUGUUUUGUCUAAAAAUGGAUGCUGAAGUGCUAAUGACUUCUGGGAAAUCUUUGUGUAGCAUGAGACACUACUACAAAUGGAAAAAUCCUGUAACAAAUUGAUGAGGCAAGGGAAUAUCAACAUUCCGUUUUGAAGUUCUGACCUUGGGACUACAUUUGAAUUGUGUUUUCAUUAACUUUGGAGAUAGUGGAAUACUGCGGUGUUGCUGUAACAAAGAAUUUAGCAAUCACAUCAAAUCAUGGUCAGAAAUUGUACAAAUGCUGACUGUGCUUUCAUUGUUAAUUUCGUGUAUCUCUUGAUGUGGGUUUUUCUCUACCUUAUCACAUCUCCAGUACUAUUAGAGGAAGGGGAUAAAGGGGAUUUUCUCUUCCUCACAAGCACAUAAGGGCAGAGGAAGGGGAAAGGCAGAACUAGAAAUAGGCAAAUAAUAAUAAUAAUAACUGAAUAUUUUUUGCAAAUAAAAGUGGCAGGUAUAGAUCA
This 1283-nucleotide long non-coding RNA is filed under the name Chrysemys picta bellii (western painted turtle). RNAcentral's name for it is "lncRNA (ENSCPBG00000023699.1)". The record is from RNAcentral. Lineage: Eukaryota; Metazoa; Chordata; Testudines; Emydidae.